UAAAGGUUCACAUUUUCUGGGUUCAAUUUCCCUGGUUGGUCCUUUGUAGCAUCAUGAGCUAAUAGAGUUACCAGAUGAAGUCAUAAUCAUUGUGAAUAUGUAACUUCAUUUGUAAACCAUCAACAUAAAUGUUAUCUGUAUUACAGAGAUGCGAAGGUGAGGCACAGAGAUAUUGACAUUAAAAUCAUCCAGUAGCUAUCAGUGUGUCAGAUUUGGGAACCAGUUACUUGGUGAUGGGGAAAUCGAGGAGAGACUUACUGUUGUCUUACCUGAGACCAGACUGUUGACAAACUGGAGGUGUUCCUGAAGAUUGCAUGAUGUGACAGGUGCUCCCACAGAAGCUGCUGUUUCUAUCACGCUGUUCCUACUGCUCCUGCUGGGUGUCUGCUUGCGAUCUUUAUCUCAGAUCCCACACUUUGAAAAGAGAUUCUAAUCAUUGCAACCACAACUGUUGGAACCAUAAUCACCAUCAUCACAAACUAGCUCCCAUUAAUAGCCAUUUAAGGAUCUUCUGUGUCUGUUAAACAUCAUGAUUUCCAUCUUCAUCAAUUAAAUUUGUAUUGUGUUCUCAAACCCAUUUUAUUAAAUUGUAACAUUUUGUAACAUGGUUCUG
This 613-nucleotide long non-coding RNA is filed under the name Anser brachyrhynchus (Pink-footed goose). RNAcentral's name for it is "lncRNA (ENSABRG00000000533.1)". Lineage: Eukaryota; Metazoa; Chordata; Aves; Anseriformes; Anatidae. The record is from RNAcentral.